This 211-nucleotide small RNA is filed under the name Arabidopsis thaliana (thale cress). Its description in RNAcentral is "ATSL257780". Lineage: Eukaryota; Viridiplantae; Streptophyta; Magnoliopsida; Brassicales; Brassicaceae. The record is from RNAcentral.
AGUUCACAAUAUUACAAUCUGUCAAGUUGUCAUAUCUUCUUGUUUAAGGAAUUUGUCAAACCAGUCUGAUGAUUCUUUGAUCAUGAAACUCGUCGCUUCGUGUCCAACUCCAUCUUCUGCUUUGAACUGCUCUCUCGAAACAUCAAAAGUUUUUCUUUUUCAAUUCUCUAUCUGGUUGCAAUAGUGUUUAAAGGUUAGAUCAGUGAUUUAC